Molecule: ribosomal RNA, 253 nt
Filed under: uncultured bacterium
Lineage: Bacteria
Description: partial 16S ribosomal RNA
Rfam family: Bacterial small subunit ribosomal RNA
Source: RNAcentral
UACGGGGGGGGCAAGCGUUGUUCGGAAUUACUGGGCGUAAAGGGCUCGUAGGUGGCCAACUAAGUCAGACGUGAAAUCCCUCGGCUUAACCGGGGAACUGCGUCUGAUACUGGAUGGCUUGAGUGUGGGAGAGGGAUGCGGAAUUCCAGGUGUAGCGGUGAAAUGCGUAGAUAUCUGGAGGAACACCGGUGGCGAAGGCGGGUCUCUGGGCCGGAACUGACGCUAAGGAGCGAAAGCGUGGGGAGCGAACAGG